CGGCGGACGGGUGAGUAAUGCCUAGGAAUCUGCCUGGUAGUGGGGGACAACGUUUCGAAAGGAACGCUAAUACCGCAUACGUCCUACGGGAGAAAGCAGGGGACCUUCGGGCCUUUCGCUAUCAGAUGAGCCUAGGUCGGAUUAGCUAGUUGGUGAGGUAAUGGCUCACCAAGGCGACGAUCCGUAACUGGUCUGAGAGGAUGAUCAGUCACACUGGAACUGAGACACGGUCCAGACUCCUACGGGAGGCAGCAGAU
This 257-nucleotide ribosomal RNA is filed under the name uncultured Pseudomonas sp. Its description in RNAcentral is "partial 16S ribosomal RNA". It matches the Rfam family "Bacterial small subunit ribosomal RNA", at positions 96 to 354 of the family's 1533-position model. Lineage: Bacteria; Pseudomonadati; Pseudomonadota; Gammaproteobacteria; Pseudomonadales; Pseudomonadaceae. The record is from RNAcentral.